AGGGCACCACCAGGAGUGGAGCCUGCGGCUUAAUUUGACUCAACACGGGAAAUCUCACCAGGCCCGGACACUGGAAGGAUUGACAGAUUGAGAGCUCUUUCUUGAUUCAGUGGGUGGUGGUGCAUGGCCGUUCUUAGUUGGUGGAGCGAUUUGUCUGGUUAAUUCCGAUAACGAACGAGACUCUAGCCUAUUAAAUAGGCUCCCGGCUUUUAAACGCCGGGAGGACUUCUUAGAGGGACAGGUGGCGGUUCAGCCGCACGAAAGAGAGCAAUAACAGGUCUGUGAUGCCCUUUGUUGUCCGGGGCCGCACGCGCGCUACACUGAAGAGAUCAGCGUGCUUUACGUUCCUGCUCCGACCGGAGUGGGGAACCCAGUGAACCUUCUUCGUGAUUGGGAUAGAAGAUUGUAAUUAUUCUUCUUGAACGAGGAAUUCCCAGUAAAUGCGAGUCAUAAGCUCGCGUUGAUUACGUCCCUGCCCUUUGUACACACCGCCCGUCGCUACUACCGAUUGAACGAUUU
This 519-nucleotide ribosomal RNA is filed under the name uncultured eukaryote. RNAcentral's name for it is "SSU rRNA". It matches the Rfam family "Eukaryotic small subunit ribosomal RNA", at positions 1161 to 1699 of the family's 1831-position model. The record is from RNAcentral.